This 207-nucleotide ribosomal RNA is filed under the name uncultured bacterium. RNAcentral's name for it is "partial 16S ribosomal RNA". It matches the Rfam family "Bacterial small subunit ribosomal RNA", at positions 568 to 774 of the family's 1533-position model. The record is from RNAcentral.
CGCGCAGGCGGAUUGGCAAGUCAGAGGUGAAAUCCUGCGGCUUAACUGCAGAACUGCCUUUGAUACUGCCGGUCUUGAGUAUGGAAGAGAGAAGCGGAAUUCCAGGUGUAGUGGUGAAAUACGUAGAUAUCUGGAAGAACAUCAGUUGCGAAGGCGGCUUCUUGGUCCAUUACUGACGCUCAGGCGCGAAAGCGUGGGUAGCAAACA